AGCAGCCGCGGUAAUUCCAGCUCCAAUAGCGUAUAUUAAAGUUGUUGCAGUUAAAAAGCUCGUAGUUGAAUUUCGGGGUUAGUAGGUUGGUCAUGCCUCUGGUAUGUACUGGUCUCACUGAUUCCUCCUUCCUGAUGAACCUUAAUGCCAUUAAUUUGGUGUUUUGGGGAAUUUGGACUGUUACUUUGAAAAAAUUAGAGUGUUUAAAGCAAGCUAACGCUUGAAUACAUUAGCAUGGAAUAAUGAAAUAGGACGUUCGAUCCUAUUUUGUUGGUUUCUAGGAUUGACGUAAUGAUUAAUAGGGAUAGUUGGGGGCAUUAGUAUUCAAUUGUCAGAGGUGAAAUUCUUGGAUUUAUUGAAGACUAACUACUGCGAAAGCAUUUGCCAAGGAUGUUUUCAUUAAUCAAGACGAAAGUUAGGGAUCGAAGACGAUCAGAUACCGUCGUAGUCUUAACCNUAAACUAUGCCGACUAGGGAUCGGAUGAUGUAAUUUUUANGUACUCAUUCGGCNCCUUACGGG
RNAcentral lists this ribosomal RNA (520 nucleotides) under uncultured Glomus. RNAcentral describes it as "SSU rRNA". It matches the Rfam family "Eukaryotic small subunit ribosomal RNA", at positions 569 to 1094 of the family's 1831-position model. The record is from RNAcentral. Lineage: Eukaryota; Fungi; Glomeromycota; Glomeromycetes; Glomerales; Glomeraceae.